UUUUGAAUAUGCAGAUUUUUUUUAGAUCUGAGACCUAUUUUGGAAGACUUCUGGGAUAAUUCUUGGAUGACUCUCGGAAGACUUCCCACGAAGUCUUCAGAAAGUCUUCCAAAGUCUUCUGCCCAAAGUGGUAUAAAGAGAUGGUGUGAAGUGGAGUCCAAGCUUAUCUAUGUUGAGGAAUAAUAUCUAGCUGUGUAAUAAUUUUGUUUAUGGUUUUUUAUGAUUUGUAUGUGUAAUAUUUUAGUUGUGAAUUAUUUUGUAAACUUUAAGAAAUGUUAAUCAAAAG
RNAcentral lists this long non-coding RNA (286 nucleotides) under Brassica napus (rape). RNAcentral's name for it is "long non-coding RNA (BNAP_LNC014978)". The record is from RNAcentral. Lineage: Eukaryota; Viridiplantae; Streptophyta; Magnoliopsida; Brassicales; Brassicaceae.